UACGGAGGGUGCAAACGUUGCUCGGAAUCAUUGGGCGUAAAGCGCACGUAGGCGGUCGGCUAUGUCGGAUGUGAAAGCCUCGGGCUUAACCCGAGAAGGGCAUCCGAAACUGGCCGGCUUGAGUACGGAAGAGGGUCUCGGAAUUCCCGGUGUAGAGGUGAAAUUCGUAGAUAUCCGGAGGAACACCGGUGGCGAAGGCGGCUUCCUGGACCGACACUGACGCUGAGGCGCGAAAGCUAGGGGAGCAAACGGG
RNAcentral lists this ribosomal RNA (253 nucleotides) under uncultured bacterium. RNAcentral describes it as "partial 16S ribosomal RNA". It matches the Rfam family "Bacterial small subunit ribosomal RNA", at positions 524 to 776 of the family's 1533-position model. The record is from RNAcentral.